GAUGAACGCUGGCGGCGUGCCUAAUACAUGCAAGUCGAGCGAACGGACGAGAAGCUUGCUUCUCUGUUGUUAGCGGCGGACGGGUGAGUAACACGUGGAUAACCUCCCUAUAAGACUGGGAUAACUUCGGGAAACCGUAGCUAAUACCGGAUAAUAUUUUGAACCAUAUGGUUCAAAAGUGAAAGACGGUCUUGCUGUCACUUAUAGAUGGAUCCGCGCUGCAUUAGCUAGUUGGUAAGGUAACGGCUUACCAAGGCAACGAUGCAUAGCCGACCUGAGAGGGUGAUCGGCCACACUGGAACGGAGACACGGUCCAGACUCCUACGGGAGGCAGCAGUAGGGAAUCUUCCGCAAUGGGCGAAAGCCUGACGGAGCAACGCCGCGUGAGUGAUGAAGGUCUUCGGAUCGUAAAACUCUGUUAUUAGGGAAGAACAUAUGUGUAAGUAACUGUGCACAUCUUGACGGUACCUAAUCAGAAAGCCACGGCUAACUACGUG
Molecule: ribosomal RNA, 497 nt
Filed under: uncultured bacterium
Lineage: Bacteria
Description: partial 16S ribosomal RNA
Rfam family: Bacterial small subunit ribosomal RNA
Source: RNAcentral